RNAcentral lists this ribosomal RNA (468 nucleotides) under uncultured bacterium. Its description in RNAcentral is "partial 16S ribosomal RNA". It matches the Rfam family "Bacterial small subunit ribosomal RNA", at positions 28 to 507 of the family's 1533-position model. The record is from RNAcentral.
GACGAACGCUGGCGGCGUGCUUAACACAUGCAAGUCGAACGGAAAGGCCCUGCUUUUGUGGGGUGCUCGAGUGGCGAACGGGUGAGUAACACGUGAGUAACCUGCCCUUGACUUUGGGAUAACUUCAGGAAACUGGGGCUAAUAACGGAUAGGAGCUCCUGCUGCAUGGUGGGGGUUGGAAAGUUUCGGCGGUUGGGGAUGGACUCGCGGCUUAUCAGCUUGUUGGUGGGGUAGUGGCUUACCAAGGCUUUGACGGGUAGCCGGACUGAGAGGGUGACCGGCCACAUUGGGACUGAGAUACGGCCCAGACUCCUACGGGAGGCAGCAGUGGGGAAUAUUGCACACUGGGAGGAAGCCUGAUGCAGCAACGCCGCGUGCGGGAUGACGGCCUUCGGGUUGUAAACCGCUUUCGCCUGUGACGAAGCGUGAGUGACGGUAAUGGGUAAAGAAGCACCGGCUAACUACGUG